This 305-nucleotide ribosomal RNA is filed under the name uncultured bacterium. Its description in RNAcentral is "bacterial SSU rRNA". It matches the Rfam family "Bacterial small subunit ribosomal RNA", at positions 335 to 634 of the family's 1533-position model. The record is from RNAcentral.
GGCCUACGGGAGGCAGCAGUAGGGAAUUUUCGUCAAUGGGCGCAAGCCUGAACGAGCAAUGCCGCGUGAACGAGGAAGGUCUUCGGAUCGUAAAGUUCUGUUGAAGGGGAAAAAGAGCGGAGAGAGGAAAUGCUUUCUGAUUGAUAUUACCCUUCGAGGAAGUCACGGCUAACUACGUGCCAGCAGCCGCGGUAAUACAUAGGUGGCGAGCGUUAUCCGGAAUGAUUGGGCGUAAAGGGUGCGUAGGCGGCCUGCUAAGUCUGGAGUGAAAGGUACCGGCUCAACCGGUACAGGCUCUGGAAACU